CGUAGGCUGGAGGAUCGAACACGAUUAGAUACCGUAGUAGUUCCAGCAGUAAACGAUGUAGACGAGCCGGUUGUGGUGCGGAUUGCUUUUCCUGCGAGUUGGGGGGAGUGUGAUUCUGCAUUGCGGUGGUGAAUAGAAAUAGAGAGUAGUACUUCGGGGAGAGUACACGCGCAAGCGAUAAAUUUAAAGGAAAUUGACGGAAGAACACCACAAGGAGUGGAGUGUGCGGCUUAAUUUGACUCAACGCGGGACAGCUUACCAGUGCAGAAGGUCGUAAGAGCGUGAACGCGAUAGACUGGAGAGUGGUGCAUGGCCGUUAUAGAUGGGUGUAUUGAUAUUGCUAUUAAGUUACGUAAUCCAUAAAACGUGCGUUUUCUGUCUAGUAGAUUUAUUUUUGGGUUGGUUAGGCGGGAGAGACGGUUACCCCUCGGUAAAGGAAGGAGCACGCAAGAACAGGUCAGUGAUGCCCUCAGACGUACUGGGCUGCACGCGCACUACAUUUGUUGGUGUAAUAUUAUUGUAUUAUAUAGAGAGAAAGCCAAUAUGGAGGAACUGUGUACUGAAAGGUACUCACGAACGAGGAAUUGCUAGUAAUCGCGAGUUCAGGAGAGCGCGAAGAAUGUGUCCCUGUUCUUUGUACACACCGCCCGUCGUUAUCGAAGAUGGGGCUGCGUAUGAACGAGUUUUUAGUGAGUGAAUGCGCGGUUCUAGAUCUGAUACAAGUCGUAACAAGGCAGCUGUAGGAGAACCUGCAGCUGGAUCAAGAGAGGUUUAAGUUCUUAUUAGUAAUGAGUUUUAUUAGUUAGUAUUAUAUUGUAUUAUGGUAUAUAUUAUAUUUAGACUCACACAUGGGAUCACUAGGCUCCGCGAGCGAGGAAGGACGAAACGUAUUCGAGUAGCAAAGAGAGU
Molecule: ribosomal RNA, 909 nt
Filed under: Facilispora margolisi
Lineage: Eukaryota; Fungi; Microsporidia; Crustaceacida; Facilisporidae
Description: SSU rRNA
Rfam family: Microsporidia small subunit ribosomal RNA (bases 1-766)
Source: RNAcentral